RNAcentral lists this ribosomal RNA (253 nucleotides) under uncultured bacterium. Its description in RNAcentral is "partial 16S ribosomal RNA". It matches the Rfam family "Bacterial small subunit ribosomal RNA", at positions 524 to 776 of the family's 1533-position model. The record is from RNAcentral.
UACGGGGGGGGCAAGUGUUGUUCGGAAUUACUGGGCGUAAAGGGCUCGUAGGUGGCCAACUAAGUCGGACGUGAAAUCCCUCGGCUUAACCGGGGAACUGCGUCUGAUACUGGAUGGCUUGAGUUCGGGAGAGGGAUGCGGAAUUCCAGGUGUAGCGGUGAAAUGCGUAGAUAUCUGGAGGAACACCGGUGGCGAAGGCGGCAUCCUGGACCGACACUGACACUGAUCCGCGACAGCAUGGGGAGCGAACGGG